Cyprinus carpio (common carp) is the source of this 5248-nucleotide long non-coding RNA. RefSeq lists it as uncharacterized. The record is from RefSeq and is a predicted model, not a curated record. The transcript is spliced from 2 exons. Lineage: Eukaryota; Metazoa; Chordata; Actinopteri; Cypriniformes; Cyprinidae.
UCAGCAAAUUUUCAUUUUUGGAUGAAACUAUUCCUUUAUUAUAUUUAAAUAAAAGUAGUGAAUGAAGUAGGAUCAAAUUGAAUUAAUUAUUUUUUUUAAAUGCAUAUGACUCUUUUUAGUCAUAACUAGAAAAUAACAGUCUGUCAAGUCUUUCCUAGGAUGCAUUACUUGUGUUGAAUUUUUUUUUAGUUUUUGUGUGGAAUACUAAUUUAAAAACUGGCAUAUUUGAGCAUAUUUUCACACUGAUAAUCUGGAAGUAAAGCUGUAAAUAUGCUUGUAAAGAAUGUGAAGUUGGUGACGGUCACGGACACGGAAGUUUACAGAGGAUCAUCUCCUCCUCUUCUGUUCCUGGUGCGGUGCCAGGUCUACGCAGCCUUGCAUCCAUGUGCAACAGGUAUGAAUAAACAUAGAAGUAGUCCUAUAUAAACCUCCAGCUAUAACCUGCAAAUCCUUGGAAGGACACGAGGUCCUUGAUGUUUCUGGGUCACGGCCAGGUAGUAAGGGUGGAAAUCUUUUCAGGACCUGUCUCCACUCCAUUCCUCAAAACCACAUGGCCGAGAUAUUUGACUAAUGUCCAAAAGUAUGGCAUGUCUCAGAGGACAGUUACAUUCUUUCAGUGUACUGAAUCCUCAAAACAAGCAAUUCUAUAUUCCUAGACAAACAUGGCAUUGGCAGAGGAGACAUUCAUGCUGUUCAGCUCGACAUCACAUUCUGGAAGCUGCUAGACUCAUCACAAAGGCAGAUUUAAUGUGGGUUGUUUUCACUAGAUGUACCUUCACUACUUUUAUCUACAUCUAUGAAAUGGAAGCAUUGACUGUGGCGAGGGACUUUCCUCAAAGCUACAUAACCAUUUAAGCCUUUUAUUAUCUGAUUCUUUGAUUGAACAUCUGAAAAUCUACACCUUGCCAGUUUGCGUCACUCUUGUUAUUUACGACUGUAGUGGGAGAUGUCAAGGGGCUUUCAUCUGGAGCUUCUUUAGGGUCGAAUGCGUAAUUAUAUGUCACUAAUGUGUCACAUAAUAUUUCUUUAGGUUGAGGCACAAUCUGACCACCUGCACUUUCCAUUUCUAGUUGAGAAGUAGCUGACACUUGACCCUCAUCAAAUAGCUUUGACACUUUAGUAAGUUGAGUGCAAGUGCAUUUGCACCAUAAUUUGUGAUAAAGCUGUGCGAUCAGCCCAUCGCUGGGUGAUAAGAGUUUGGCCAUUACAGUUUGUUCUCACUUUUUUUGUGAACAGCUUUACUCAUUGUCAUGUGCUACAGAUUGUGUGUCCUCUAGAACACGGUGCUCUUUAUGUACGCUCCUUUUUUCAUCUCACUUUCAGGUUUUGUGUACAAAGUCUUGUCAGGUGCCAGCUUCAGUACAGUACACAACAAACACUAUUAGGUUAAACAUAGACAUCGGUUGAAAUGAACAGAAGACCUACUAAACAGAUACAGAUGUUCCGUCACAGAUCGAGCUGUUAGUGUCAAAAAAAAAAAAUGUGAUAGGUUGUUAAAUGAUUUCACAUGAAGAUUUAAAUAAACUCUACAGCAGGGUUCCCAAACUUUUCCAUUCCAUGACCCACCCAGACAAGUAUAAUCUAUUUCAUUACAAACCAAAAUAUUUGAGAUCAAAAACAAUUGAUCUGGGAGGUUAACACAUGUCCCUCCCUCCUAGCUAUGGCUCAGGUCUCUCUUUCGGUGUGAGUUUGUGGAUUUUUUGUGCAGUGUUUUCGUCUGUUGUUUGCCAGACAGAAAUCAUGAAGUUAAAUCACAUCUCUUCUCAACAGGGCAUGUGAUUUGAAGUAUUGCUCAUGCCCACACCACAAAUCUUGCAACCUCAUGAAGUUGGUUCAGUGAAUCUCUAGAGUGUGUAAAACUGUUAUUGAAGCACAUAGUGGCCAAAAGAUAAAAAUAUAUUUUUAGAUUUAAAAUGUUAUGAGAGUGUGUGUGUAGCCUAUGUGUGGUCUUGGUAUUCCCUACUUUAUGGGGGCUUUUUCUUGGUGCAGAAAGUUUUGUGUGGGGGUAAGGUUAAGGUAAUGGGAUAGAAAAUACAGUUUGUACAGUAUAAAAACAUAUAAUACAUAACAUUUCUAUGGAAUGUCCCCAUAAAGCAUGGAAAGCAUCAGUGUGUGUGUAGGUUAAUGUUGAAUUGAGCAGGACUGAGGCAGCAGUCUGUUAACUAUUUCACCGUUCAUGUGAAACCCAAACCCUUUCAGCACAUAGCGAUCAAGCCACACACACACACAAACACAUACACACACACAAACACACAGUUUAAACAACCCAAGUACCUUUGAAUACUCCACAGCAAUACGAGUCUCAAGAUGGUUUUCUUCCUUCCAGCACUAAUUUUAAGUCUCCGUGGCAACAAUAUCCCACCAGAUCAUGAUAUAAAUAUAUGUAUUUUAAGAAAAAAAAGUAUUUUAGGUAGGUUUUUAUUUUAGAGAGAUACAUUGUAAUGAUAACCCUGGUAUAUGUGAAUGGAAAAAAGACAAAACAAAAACAAGAUUUUUUUUUGCAGUGUACGAAGUACCACAUCAAAAAUAUAUAUUAUAAUUGCUUCUUUUUCAGUACAUUUUGUAAUUUAGAUAGUUGUAUUAAAAAAUUGCUGAUGGAUUUAAAAAAAAGUCUAGCAAGUUUACAGAAUUAUGUAUCUUGCAUCUUAUUGAACAAAAUGGAUGAAGUAUUAGCUUUUCCCUAUAGCUUUUCCUGUUCCUUGUUUUUCCAUUUGAGUCAAAGGAGAUGAAUAAGAUGGGAUUUUACCUGCAUAUACUAGACUAAUAGUGGCAUAAUCCAGUAGAAUGGACUAGUCUUUAAUCUUUAGAGCAUGAACUAGAUGCCCAUAAUGUGAUCCAGGUUUCAGUUUGCGUAUUUUGUUCUCAGUGAUCGAUCAGACCUGACUCAUGCUGUCUAUUUGUGUGUACAGUUUUUAACCUCCACGAUCAUAUACACCAUCGCACUGAAAUGUCUGAAACCGCAAUUCCAGUUGCUGUAGGUUCAGUUUAAUAUUACGAAAACAGGAAAUUUGAGGGGUUUUGUCAUACAGUCUCUUACAAGUUGCCAUUUCCCAGCAAGUGGACUGCAUAAGUUCUUACCAAAUAAUCAUUCAUUACCAAUGGCCAUGUGAGGAAGAGUUGUGUGCAAAGAAACAGAUGAUGAUCAACGUACCAGCAGUGAAAGCAGUGCCUCAUACAAAACAGAUGUAUUUUUCUCUCUCUUUCUCUUCACCUCAUCCCUUUGGCUAAAUCUAUUCUGUGUCCACAUCUGUGUUUAUAGUGAAUGUGAAUAUCUCACAAGCAGGAAAGACCAUAGAAAGGUAAAAGGCCACAUCGCAAAACUAAGACAAAACAAUAUUAUGCUGCUCUUUGUGCUGUGGUUGCCAGCAACCAUAGACCACUCUGGAAACAUUUUAAAAUGAUCUUUUAGCAGAAAACAUGCACAGUAGUACACGUGAACUGUUUGUCCGUUUUCUCUGUUCUUCAGCUGCUUUGAUUCGAAUGAACAUUUUAUGAAAAGGGUCUGAAAAGAGACACAAAGAAGUCACCAGCCUGGGCUUUGACAUUCAAAGCAUGGGACAUUUGAUUGGGAUAUUGCCUAGUCGUUUUGUCAUUAUAUUAUUUUCUGUUUGUUGAAACAGGACCUCAAAACAACACAACGCAUCACCUCAUUUAUUUUUAUUUAUUUUUGUUUUUCAUACCAAAAACCUGGGGAGAAGAAACUUAUUUUUGCACAAUUGCUAUCUGAAGAAUAAUCGAGUUAGUGUUAGUGUUUUUGCUAGAAAUAAUUGAUUCAUAAGAACGCCUAGUGAGUUUUCUCUACAUCCUGCUCUGUUAGUGGGCUGAUAUUGAUUAAUAGGCAUUCGUGGAUUUUUUGGGCAUUUUAACAAUAAUUAAAAUAAUAAUAAUAAUAAUUUAAGGUCAUUUAAAAUGAAUUUGACUAUUUAAAAAAAUUGAAUUGAACGUACUGUCAUAGUUUGGCUUGAAGCUAUCAAAAUGUAUCAUUUAUCACUUAUUUCUAAGAAAUAGGAAGAUAUAUGUUUAACAAUAAAAGAAGGCUUUUGGCAAUUUUUAAGUUUGUCCUCCCCAGGUUUUCUGUGAGCUGAUCUGAAUUCUAGCACUUUUAAACCUUUAAAAAGAGUAUUUUUCAGCCUUGUAUGUUUGUAUGUUUUUAAUUUUGUAUUUGAUCUUGUAUGUGCCAUUAGUUUGAUGCGUAGAGUUUAUUAAUCUUUAUGUAAUUGUUGUUUUUCUCCUUUCCCAAAAGAGUAACAGUAUUUUAGAUAGAUUUUCACUAAUAUUAACAGCAUUGGCCCUUUUGCCAUGCUGUCUUGUCAUACAUUUGAGGAAGUCAUUUAAUCUUAAAAUAGAUGUUAGAGUAACAUGCUCCGAAGCAUUCUCUGUGUCUGAAUUCUGAUAAAAUCAUUGCCACAAACAAACGGAAAAAAAAUAAAGUUUCCAGCUCCAUCUAUAACUGAGGUGUUUUCAACUGGUGUGAAAUUGUUCCCAGCUCUCUGCCCCCAGAAAAGCACUUUUGGUUCAAAUGAAGUUUUAUAUAAUAACUGCCUGGAUAGUUGGAACUCAGCAUCUUGCUUGCUUUUUUUUUUUAACCAGCAACAUUCUGCAACACAGACAGAUUAAGCAAGUUAAAUUGACCUUUUCCUCUCUUGUUAAGAUGCACUUGUCCUUUACGCCCCAAAUACUAACAAAAAUAUUAAGGGAAAUUAUUAGGUAACCAAGCUAGGGUAAAACAAAACAAUCUGACUUUUAAGAAAAGGAAAAAUGAUUCAAUAAAAUGCUCUUUCGGCUUAUAGUGAGAAAAUGGGUACGUCCGCAGAGGACAAAAUCCACUUGUAGUUUGAUAUACUUUAGCUUAAUGUAAGUCUUGCAUUCCAAGCUUUUUAUGUAACUUGUUUAGCAAUAUAGUCGUUCUAUUUUUAGUACUUGCUUAUUACAACGACUUCUGGAAAAAAAGGUGAAAACAAAAAAAAAAUGGAAUAUUCAUCCUUACACUAUUUUAUGUAACAUGGAGAAGAUGAUUGACGGGACGAAUUGUACAAAAGAAAUGCAUAAAGGAGACAAACUGUGCUUUUUUUGUUACACAGCUCACCUGCGGUCAGUUGCUGCAUUGUAAAGUUGACAGAUUUGUAUAUUGGUUGAUCCAAAGAGAUGACAUUACAACAAACCUAUUUACUUAUUGUACAGUACAUUGUACCAUUUGACUUAUGUAUGUUAUGUUAAAAUGAUUAAAAGAUGAACCCACGGUUUCUUA